This 449-nucleotide ribosomal RNA is filed under the name uncultured bacterium. RNAcentral describes it as "partial 16S ribosomal RNA". It matches the Rfam family "Bacterial small subunit ribosomal RNA", at positions 29 to 523 of the family's 1533-position model. The record is from RNAcentral.
AAUGAACGCUGGCGGCGGGCCUAACACAUGCAAGUCGAACGGAUCCUUCGGGAUUAGUGGCGGACGGGUGAGUAACGCGUGGGAACCUACCCUUUGGUACGGAAUAGCCUCGGGAAACUGGGAGUAAUACCGUAUGUGGUCGAGAGACGAAAGAUUUAUCGCCAAAGGAUUGGCCCGCGUUGGAUUAGGUAGUUGGUGGGGUAAUGGCCUACCAGGCCGACGAUCCAUAGCUGGUUUGAGAGGAUGAUCAGCCACACUGGGACUGAGACACGGCCCAGAAUCCUACGGGAGGCAGCAGUGGGGAAUCUUAGACAAUGGGGGAAACCCUGAUCUAGCCAUGCCGCGUGAUCGAUGAAGGCCUUAGGGUUGUAAAGCUCUUUCAGCUGGGAAGAUAAUGACUGUACCAGCAGAAGAAGCCCCGGCUAACUCCGUGCCAGCCGCCGCGGUAA